This 72-nucleotide transfer RNA is filed under the name Camelus bactrianus (Bactrian camel). It matches the Rfam family "tRNA". From Rfam's summary of the family: Transfer RNA (tRNA) molecules are approximately 80 nucleotides in length. Their secondary structure includes four short double-helical elements and three loops (D, anti-codon, and T loops). Further hydrogen bonds mediate the characteristic L-shaped molecular structure. tRNAs have two regions of fundamental functional importance: the anti-codon, which is responsible for specific mRNA codon recognition, and the 3' end, to which the tRNAs corresponding amino acid is attached (by aminoacyl-tRNA synthetases). tRNAs cope with the degeneracy of the genetic code in two manners: having more than one tRNA (with a specific anti-codon) for a particular amino acid; and 'wobble' base-pairing, i.e. permitting non-standard base-pairing at the 3rd anti-codon position. The record is from Rfam by way of RNAcentral. RNAcentral also lists the same sequence under 2 other names. Lineage: Eukaryota; Metazoa; Chordata; Mammalia; Artiodactyla; Camelidae.
GAGGGUAUGACUCAGUGGUAGAGUGCAUGCCUAGCAUGCACAACAUCCUGGGUUCAGUCCCCAGCACCUCCA